Molecule: long non-coding RNA, 605 nt
Organism: Nerophis ophidion (straightnose pipefish)
Lineage: Eukaryota; Metazoa; Chordata; Actinopteri; Syngnathiformes; Syngnathidae
Exons: 4
Source: RefSeq, a predicted model, not a curated record
ACAGCAGGCUCAGCUGCAGGGUGUGAAAUCAGACUAAUACAGAUGCUUGAGCGGGAGCAGGAGGUGGCUCCUGUGUGACUUUCUCAGGCUAGAGGUGGAGAGGAAAAAAAAAAGAAAGAGGGGACUGUAACGGCAUAGAGGGGGAAAAAGAGACAGUAAGGCAAAGGACAGUGAAAUAAGCGCGUCUUCUGCUUCACAGUUGGUUGCCUGUCUGUGAGGGAGGUGUUUGAACAGCCUACAAACUACUGUGACAAAAGGUGAUGCUUUCAUCCUGAUUUGUCCUUCUUGGACCUGGGAGUCCCUGAAUCCCAGUAUGGCUUUGGAACACCCUGGAAAUACCUGGACUUCUAGGAGUGUAUAACCAAAAGAUCUUGAGGUGCCCAGGCGCCGCAGUGAUAGCUUUACAUUUGCCUGUACAAUUUUGACACCAAACAAAAGAAGAAAUAGAGGAGAGGACUUUAGCAAUAGCUGCCACAAUUGUUUCGACAAGCCUACUGUGACCAGGAGGACUCGACCUUUGGGCCGGCGGGCUUCAAACCGACACUUGAAAAGAGAACGCCGCCAGGGAGGCAUCCGUGUGGUAGCAAGACAGACCAAAAAACCCU